This 503-nucleotide ribosomal RNA is filed under the name uncultured bacterium. RNAcentral's name for it is "bacterial SSU rRNA". It matches the Rfam family "Bacterial small subunit ribosomal RNA", at positions 338 to 856 of the family's 1533-position model. The record is from RNAcentral.
CCUACGGGAGGCAGCAGUGGGGAAUCUUGCGCAAUGGGCGAAAGCCUGACGCAGCCAUGCCGCGUGAAUGAUGAAGGUCUUAGGAUUGUAAAAUUCUUUCACCGGGGACGAUAAUGACGGUACCCGGAGAAGAAGCCCCGGCUAACUUCGUGCCAGCAGCCGCGGUAAUACGAAGGGGGCUAGCGUUGCUCGGAAUUACUGGGCGUAAAGGGAGCGUAGGCGGAUAGUUUAGUCAGAGGUGAAAGCCCAGGGCUCAACCUUGGAAUUGCCUUUGAUACUGGCUAUCUUGAGUGUGGGAGAGGUAUGUGGAACUCCGAGUGUAGAGGUGAAAUUCGUAGAUAUUCGGAAGAACACCAGUGGCGAAGGCGACAUACUGGCCCAUUACUGACGCUGAGGCUCGAAAGCGUGGGGAGCAAACAGGAUUAGAUACCCUGGUAGUCCACGCUGUAAACGAUGAGUGCUAGUUGUCGGCGAGCGAUGCUCGUCGGUGGACGCGAGCUACG